This 2773-nucleotide unclassified non-coding RNA is filed under the name Haliotis rubra (blacklip abalone). RNAcentral describes it as "gastrula zinc finger protein XlCGF57.1-like, transcript variant X3". The record is from RNAcentral. Lineage: Eukaryota; Metazoa; Mollusca; Gastropoda; Lepetellida; Haliotidae.
CCUCGCAAGCAAAUAUGGCGGACAAGGUGAGUUGUGUUGGGAGCCAGAACGGUCAUUUUCUUUAAAGUCUUCAAGACUACAGUUGCAAUACGUGCCGAGAAAGAACGCCCCUCCAGUAUUCAAGUUCACGAAAUCGUCGUCAAACGGGCGAAAUUUUUAUGAAAGGAACAGGUCAAAGUUGAAGUCAAGUAAUCUACCCCUUUCAAAUGUCUCUCUGACAUAGUGACAUCCAGAUAUCUUCAAUUGUAGUUGUGAACACCACAACAUCCACAGGUUAAUGAUGGAAGUAGAAAGCCAACCACAGACUCCUGGUUCUGUUACUGAAACAUGUGUUAUGAUAAACCAUGAGAGAAAUGUGAGGGAAACAGGUGAUCUCAAGACACCAUCUGUUCGUGACACAGUGGAAACAGAUGACGUCAAGAGACAAUCUGUUAGUGACACACUGGAAACAGAUGAUGUCAAGAGACAAUCUGUUAGUGACACACUGGAAACAGAUGACGUCAAGAGACAAUCUGUUAGUGACACACUGGAAACAGAUGAUGUCAAGAGACAAUCUGUUAGUGACACACUGGAAACAGAUGACGUCAAGAGACAAUCUGUUAGUGACACACUGGAAAAAACAGGUGAUGCCAAGCAACAGUCUGCUAUAGACACUCUGGAAACAGGCAAUCUCAAGAAGCAAGAAGAUAAGCUGGGUCCAUCAAAGCAGCUUCAGUGUGGUGAUGGUGGUAAAGCAUGUACAAAGUCAGGGGACCGUCUGCAACGUAUAAGGAUUCAUAAUGGAAUCAAAUCUUAUCAGUGUAUUGUAUGUGAGAAAACAUAUACACUAUCAAGUAGUCUGCAGAGACACAUGAAGAUUCACAUUGGACAAAAACCUCAUAAUUGUGUUGAAUGUGGGAAAGCAUUUGCACAAUCAGGUUAUCUGCACACACACAUGAGAAUUCACAGUGGAGUCAAGCCUUAUCAGUGUGAUGAAUGUGGAAAAAUAUUUACACAAUCAAGUAGUCUGCUGAGACAUAUGAGGAUUCACAGUGGAAAGAAACCUCAUAAUUGUGUUGAAUGUGGGAAAACAUUUGCACGGUCAGGUCAUCUGCACACACACUUGAGGGUUCACAGUGCAAUCAAGCAUUAUCAGUGUAACGAAUGUGAGAAAACAUUUGCACAAUCAAGUAGUCUUCAGAGACACAUGAAGGUUCACAGUGGAAAAAAGCCUUAUAAAUGUGUUGUAUGUGGGAAAACAUUUGCACGGUCAGGUCAUCUGCACACACACUUGAGGGUUCACAGUGCAAUCAAGCCAUAUCAGUGUGAUGAAUGUGGGAAAACAUUUGCACAGUCAAGUAGUUUCCAGAGACAUGUGAAGAUUCACAAUGAUAUAAAACCUUAUAAGUGUGAUGAAUGUGGGAAAGCAUUUACACAAUCAAGUAUUCUGCAAGCACACAUGAAGGUUCAUGGUGGCAUCAGGCCUCAUUUGUGUAUUGUUUGUGAAAAAACAUUUACAGCAUCAAGUAAUCUUUGCACACACAUGACGAUUCACACUGGAAUUAAACCUUAUAAGUGUGAUGAAUGUGGGAAAACAUUUGCACGAUCACAUUAUCUGCAAGCUCAUAUGGAGAUUCACAGCGGAAUCAAGCCUUACAAGUGUGGUGAAUGUGGGAAAAGAUUUACACAAUCCAGUGCUCUACAGAGACACAUGAGGGUUCACAGUGGAAUCAAGCCUUACAAGUGUGAUGGAUGUGGGAAAGCAUUUGCACUAUCACAUAAUCUGCAAGCUCAUAUGGAGAUUCACAGCGGAAUCAAGCAUUACAAGUGUGGUGAAUGUGGGAAAAGAUUUACACAAUCCAGUGCUCUGCAGAGACACAUGAGGGUUCACAGUGGAAUCAAGCCUUACAAGUGUGAUGGAUGUGGGAAAGCAUUUGUACGGUCAGAACAUCUGCAGAGACACAUGAGGAUUCACACUGGAAUGAAACCUUAUAAGUGUGUUGAAUGUGGGAAAACAUUUACAGAAUCAGGAACUCUGCAGACUCACAUGAGCAUUCAUGGAGGAAUCAGAUCUCAUCCAUGCAUUGUGUGUGAGGAAACAUUUACAGUUGCAAGUAAUCUUCACACACACAUGAUGAUUCACACUGGACUAAAACCUUGUAAGUGUGCAGUGUGUGGGAAGACAUUUGCACAAUCCGAUAAUCUGCAGACACACAUGAGGACUCACAGUGACAUUAAAGAGGUUAUCAGUGUGUUGAAUGUGAGAAAACAUUACACAAUCAAGUAGUUUGCAGCGACACAUGAAGAUUUACGGAGGAAAAAAACGGUUGAAUCAAACAAGUAGUUUGCAGAGACGUGAAGAUUCACACUGGAAUGAAACCUCAUUAGUGUUCUGAAUGUGGGAAAACAUUUUCAUGAUCAGAUUAUCUGCAAGCUCAUAUGAAGAUUCACAGCGGAAUCAAGCCUUACAAGUGUGGUGAAUGUGGGAAAAGAUUUAGAGAGUCAAAUCAUUUGCACACACAUAUCGAGGAUUCACAGUGGAAUAAAAAGCUAUAAAUCUGAAGAAUGUGAGGAAACGUUUACACAAUCAACUUAUCUGCAGAGACACAUGAGGAUUCAUAGUGCAAUCAAGCUUUAAAGUGUUGUGAAUUGAACACUGGAACAUCCAGAAGUUAAUGAUGGAAGUAGGAAGCCAACCACAGACUCCUGGUUCUGUUACUGACACAUCCUUUACAAUAAACCGUGAGAGAAAACUGAGGGAAGCAGGUGAUCUCAUAAAACAAUCUGUUCCUGA